CGUGUAGCCGGGCAGACAAGUCAGAUGUGAAAUCUGGAGGCUUAACCUCCAAACUGCAUUUGAAACUGCCUGUCUUGAGUGUCGGAGAGGUAAUCGGAAUUCCUAGUGUAGCGGUGAAAUGCGUAGAUAUUAGGAAGAACACCGGUGGCGAGGGCGGAUUACUGGACGAUAACUGACGGUGAGGCGCGAAAGCGUGGGGAGCAAACA
RNAcentral lists this ribosomal RNA (207 nucleotides) under uncultured bacterium. RNAcentral describes it as "partial 16S ribosomal RNA". It matches the Rfam family "Bacterial small subunit ribosomal RNA", at positions 568 to 774 of the family's 1533-position model. The record is from RNAcentral.